RNAcentral lists this transfer RNA (57 nucleotides) under Bos taurus (domestic cattle). It matches the Rfam family "tRNA", at positions 8 to 63 of the family's 71-position model. From Rfam's summary of the family: Transfer RNA (tRNA) molecules are approximately 80 nucleotides in length. Their secondary structure includes four short double-helical elements and three loops (D, anti-codon, and T loops). Further hydrogen bonds mediate the characteristic L-shaped molecular structure. tRNAs have two regions of fundamental functional importance: the anti-codon, which is responsible for specific mRNA codon recognition, and the 3' end, to which the tRNAs corresponding amino acid is attached (by aminoacyl-tRNA synthetases). tRNAs cope with the degeneracy of the genetic code in two manners: having more than one tRNA (with a specific anti-codon) for a particular amino acid; and 'wobble' base-pairing, i.e. permitting non-standard base-pairing at the 3rd anti-codon position. The record is from Rfam by way of RNAcentral. Lineage: Eukaryota; Metazoa; Chordata; Mammalia; Artiodactyla; Bovidae. RNAcentral also lists the same sequence under 4 other names.
UAGCUCAGAUGGUAAAGUAUCUGCCUGUAAUGCAGGAGACCCGGGUUCGAUUCCUGG